UAAAGUCAAGAGUAUUGUUGUU
RNAcentral lists this non-coding RNA (22 nucleotides) under Drosophila melanogaster (fruit fly). The record is from RNAcentral. Lineage: Eukaryota; Metazoa; Arthropoda; Insecta; Diptera; Drosophilidae.